UACGUAGGUGGCGAGCGUUGUCCGGAUUUACUGGGCGUAAAGGGCGUGCAGGCGGUUUGGUAAGUGCGGGGUGAAAGCUCCCGGCUCAACUGGGAGAGGUCCUUGCAUACUGGCGAACUCGAGGGAGGCAGAGGAAAGUGGAAUUCCCGGUGUAGUGGUGAUAUGCGUAGAUAUCGGGAGGAACACCUGUGGCGAAGGCGGCUUUCUGGGCCUUACCUGACGCUGAGACGCGAAAGCGUGGGGAGCGAACCGG
This 253-nucleotide ribosomal RNA is filed under the name uncultured bacterium. RNAcentral describes it as "partial 16S ribosomal RNA". It matches the Rfam family "Bacterial small subunit ribosomal RNA", at positions 524 to 776 of the family's 1533-position model. The record is from RNAcentral.